Molecule: ribosomal RNA, 504 nt
Filed under: uncultured bacterium
Lineage: Bacteria
Description: bacterial SSU rRNA
Rfam family: Bacterial small subunit ribosomal RNA
Source: RNAcentral
GAGUUUGAUCCUGGCUCAGGACGAACGCUGGCGGCGCGCCUAACACAUGCAAGUCGAACGGAGCUUAGAGAGCUUGCUUUUUAAGCUUAGUGGCGAACGGGUGAGUAACGCGUGAGUAACCUGCCCUAGAGUGGGGGACAACAGUUGGAAACGACUGCUAAUACCGCAUAAGCCCACGACCCGGCAUCGGGUAGAGGGAAAAGGAGUAAUCCGCUUUGAGAUGGCCUCGCGUCCGAUUAGCUAGUUGGUGAGGUAAUGGCCCACCAAGGCGACGAUCGGUAGCCGGACUGAGAGGUUGAACGGCCACAUUGGGACUGAGACACGGCCCAGACUCCUACGGGAGGCAGCAGUGGGGAAUAUUGCACAAUGGGGGAAACCCUGAUGCAGCGACGCCGCGUGGAGGAAGAAGGUCUUCGGAUUGUAAACUCCUGUUGUUGAGGAAGAUAAUGACGGUACUCAACAAGGAAGUGACGGCUAACUACGUGCCAGCCGCCGCGGUAAUUC